GGCCUACCAUGGUGGUAACGGGUAACGGGGUGUUAGGGCACGACACCGGAGAGGGAGCCUGAGAAACGGCUACCACAUCCAAGGAAGGCAGCAGGCGCGCAAAUUACCCAAUCCCGACACGGGGAGGUAGUGACAAUAAAUAACAAUACAGGGUUCUUUUGGAUCUUGUAAUUGGAAUGAGUACAAUUUAAAUCUCUUAACGAGGAACAAUUGGAGGGCAAGUCUGGUGCCAGCAGCCGCGGUAAUUCCAGCUCCAAUAGCGUAUAUUAAAGUUGUUGCAGUUAAAAAGCUCGUAGUUGAAUUUCGGGAUCAAUGUUUCGGUCAUGCCGUUGGUAUGUACUGAUAUUAUUGAUUUCUCACCUUCUAAAGAACCGUAAUGCCAUUAAUUUGGUGUCACGGGGAAUUAGGACUGUUACCUUGAAAAAAUUAGAGUGUUUAAAGCAGGCUCACGCUUGAAUACAUUAGCAUGGAAUAAUGAAAUAGGACAUCCGAUUCUAUUUUGUUGGUUUCUAGGAUCGAUGUAAUGAUUAAUAGGGAUAGUUGGGGGCAUUAGUAUUCAAUUGUCAGAGGUGAAAUUCUUGGAUUUAUUGAAGACUAACUACUGCGAAAGCAUUUGCCAAGGAUGUUUUCAUUAAUCAAGAACGAAAGUUAGGGGAUCGAAGACGAUCAGAUACCGUCGGAGUCUUAACCAUAAACUAUGCCGACUAGGGAUCGGAUGAUGUUAAUUUUUUAAUGACUCAUUCGGCGCCUUACGGGAAACCAAAGUGUUUGGGUUC
This 776-nucleotide ribosomal RNA is filed under the name uncultured Funneliformis. Its description in RNAcentral is "SSU rRNA". It matches the Rfam family "Eukaryotic small subunit ribosomal RNA", at positions 338 to 1114 of the family's 1831-position model. Lineage: Eukaryota; Fungi; Glomeromycota; Glomeromycetes; Glomerales; Glomeraceae. The record is from RNAcentral.